GGUGAUUGGUGUGCACGGUGCCAGUCUGUGUUAUGUGUUGUUGCUGGACUGCGUUUUGCAGACUGGGCAGCAUCACUCACAUCACACUUGCAGCCACAGAACAACAGGAGAUCAUAGUACUGGUCCUUGACGUCUUUAUCGACCCAUCACCUUUGGCCAGCCUCCACUCUCUCCUACAUGC
Takifugu rubripes (torafugu) is the source of this 181-nucleotide small nucleolar RNA. Ensembl annotates it as small nucleolar RNA SNORA23. The record is from Ensembl. NCBI's taxonomy places the organism in Eukaryota, Metazoa, Chordata, Actinopteri, Tetraodontiformes, Tetraodontidae.